GUAGUCAUAUGCUUGUCUCAAAGGUUAAGCCAUGCAUGUCUAAGUAUGAACACGCUUUGUACGGUGAAACUGCGAAUGGCUCAUUAUAUCAGUGAUCAUUUAUUUGAUGAUGCCUUACUACGUGGAUAACCGUGGUAAUUCUAGAGCUAAUACAUGCACACGACUCCCGACUCGCGAGGGAAGGGAGGUAUUUAUUAGGUAAGAACCAGCCCUGGCAACAGGAGCUCUGGUGAUUCAUGAUAACUGCACGAAUCGCACGGCCUUGCGCUGGCGAUGGAUCAUUCAAAUUUCUGCCCUAUCAACUUUUGAUGGUAGGAUAGAGGCCUACCAUGGUCGCAACGGGUAACGGGGAAUGG
RNAcentral lists this ribosomal RNA (356 nucleotides) under uncultured fungus. RNAcentral's name for it is "SSU rRNA". It matches the Rfam family "Eukaryotic small subunit ribosomal RNA", at positions 20 to 372 of the family's 1831-position model. The record is from RNAcentral. Lineage: Eukaryota; Fungi.